AGUACCGGGUCCGAGUGAAACGUGAACGUCGCUGGAGUACGUCGCAGGCUGAACUAAAGGAAUGCGGGGAGCACACAACGGGUGAGCUGCGUUUAAUGGACUCAACGCCGGGCAGCUCACCGGAUAGGACAGCGGAAUGAUAGCCGGGCUGAAGACCUUGCUUGACCAGCUGAGAGGAGGUGCAUGGCCGUCGUCAGUUCGUACUGUGAAGCAUCCUGUUUAGUCAGGCAACGAGCGAGACCCACGCCAACAGUUGCUAGCAGGUUCUCCGGAAUGAUGAGGACAAAAAUAAGGACCGCCUCUGCUGGGGGGGGGGGGGGGGGGGCAACGGUAGGUCAGCAUGCCCCGAAUUAUCCGGGCUACACGCGGGCUACAAUGGUCAGGAAAAAGGGAAACGGCACUGAAAAGUGUAGUCAAUCUCCUAAACCUGUCCCAAGUUCGGAUUGUGGGCUGCAACUCGCCCACAUGAAGCUGGAAUCCGUAGU
RNAcentral lists this ribosomal RNA (485 nucleotides) under uncultured methanogenic archaeon. RNAcentral describes it as "partial 16S ribosomal RNA". It matches the Rfam family "Archaeal small subunit ribosomal RNA", at positions 792 to 1295 of the family's 1478-position model. The record is from RNAcentral. Lineage: Archaea; Methanobacteriati; Methanobacteriota.